GGCAAUAUUUGAUGGUGGAACCAUUUUUUUGCUCGAGUGCUAUGAAGUUUUUUUGAUAGUGUGAGGUUGAUGUUGAUAGAAUAAUGAGUUUUAUAGAGACUUUCUUGAUGUAAAACUAUAUUUUUUUGUUUAAUGUGGUAUUUUUAUUUUUACAUAAUUUACUACCAUUUUAAGAUAGAUGUCCAUUUUAUUUAAUGUACUAUUUCCAUUUUUUUGAAAACUGUGCAUUUACUUAUU
RNAcentral lists this long non-coding RNA (237 nucleotides) under Brassica rapa (field mustard). RNAcentral describes it as "long non-coding RNA (BRAP_LNC006316)". Lineage: Eukaryota; Viridiplantae; Streptophyta; Magnoliopsida; Brassicales; Brassicaceae. The record is from RNAcentral.